Molecule: ribosomal RNA, 508 nt
Filed under: uncultured bacterium
Lineage: Bacteria
Description: partial 16S ribosomal RNA
Rfam family: Bacterial small subunit ribosomal RNA
Source: RNAcentral
AUUGAACGCUGGCGGCAGGCCUAACACAUGCAAGUCGAGCGGCAGCGGGAAAGUAGCUUGCUACUUUUGCCGGCGAGCGGCGGACGGGUGAGUAAUGCCUGGGAAAUUGCCCAGUCGAGGGGGAUAACAGUUGGAAACGACUGCUAAUACCGCAUACGCCCUACGGGGGAAAGCAGGGGACCUUCGGGCCUUCCGCGAUUGGAUAUGCCCAGGUGGGAUUAGCUAGUUGGUGAGGUAAUGGCUCACCAAGGCGACGAUCCCUAGCUGGUCUGGGAGGAUGAUCAGCCAAACUGGAACUGAGACACGGUCCAGACUCCUACGGGAGGCAGCAGUGGGGAAUAUUGCACAAUGGGGGAAACCCUGAUGCAGCCAUGCCGCGUGUGUGAAGAAGGCCUUCGGGUUGUAAAGCACUUUCAGCGAGGAGGAAAGGUUGAUGCCUAAUACGUAUCAACUGUGACGUUACUCGCAGAAGAAGCACCGGCUAACUCCGUGCCAGCCGCCGCCGUAA